This 440-nucleotide ribosomal RNA is filed under the name uncultured bacterium. Its description in RNAcentral is "partial 16S ribosomal RNA". It matches the Rfam family "Bacterial small subunit ribosomal RNA", at positions 338 to 795 of the family's 1533-position model. The record is from RNAcentral.
CCUACGGGUGGCAGCAGUAGGGAAUAUUGCUCAAUGGGGGAAACCCUGAAGCAGCAACGCCGCGUGGAGGAUGAAGGUUUUCGGAUUGGAAACUCUUUUUGUUAGAGAAGAUAAUGACGGUAUCUAACGAAUAAGCACCGGCUAACUCCGUGCCAGCAGCCGCGGUAAUACGGAGGGUGCCAGCGUUACUCGGAAUCACUGGGCGUAAAGAGCGCGUAGGCGGGAUAGCAAGUCAGAUGUGAAAUCGUAUGGUUUAACCAUAGAACUGCAUUUGAAACUGUUAUUCUAGAGUAUGGGAGAGGUAGGUGGAAUUCGUGGUGUAGCGGUAAAAUCCGUAGAGAUCAAGAAGAAUACUCAUUGCGAAGGCGACCUACUAGAACAUAACUGACGCUGAUGCGCGAAAGCGUGGGGAGCAAACAGGAUUAGAUACCCUAGUAGUC